AUUGAACGCUGGCGGCAUGCUUUACACAUGCAAGUCGAACGGCAGCGCGGGCUUCGGCCUGGCGGCGAGUGGCGAACGGGUGAGUAAUACAUCGGAACGUGCCCAGUAGUUGGGGAUAGCUCGGCGAAAGCCGGCUUAAUACCGCAUACGACCUGAGGGUGAAAGCGGGGGAUCUUCGGACCUCGCGCUAUUGGAGCUGCCCAUGGCAGAUUAGCUAGUUGGUGGGGUAAAGGCCUACCAAGGCGACGAUCUGUAGCUGGUCUGAGAGGACGACCAGCCACACUGGGACUGAGACACGGCCCAGACUCCUACGGGAGGCAGCAGUGGGGAAUUUUGGACAAUGGGCGAAAGCCUGACCCAGCAAUGCCGCGUGUGUGAUGAAGGCCUUCGGGUUGUAAAGCACUUUUGGCGGGAACGAAAAGGACUGUGCCAAUACCACGGUUCGAUGACGGUACCCGCAGAAUAAGCACCGGCUAACUACGUG
RNAcentral lists this ribosomal RNA (484 nucleotides) under uncultured bacterium. RNAcentral describes it as "partial 16S ribosomal RNA". It matches the Rfam family "Bacterial small subunit ribosomal RNA", at positions 30 to 507 of the family's 1533-position model. The record is from RNAcentral.